This 157-nucleotide microRNA precursor is filed under the name Pelobates cultripes (western spadefoot toad). Lineage: Eukaryota; Metazoa; Chordata; Amphibia; Anura; Pelobatidae. The record is from RNAcentral.
GCAGACACAUUCCAGCCAAUCAGCAGCAGACCCUCCCUCCCAGACCCUCCCACCUCCUGGACAGCAUCCAUUUUGAAGCUGCAUUCUUAGUGAGCUGCCCAGGAGGUGGGAGGGUCUGGGAGAGAGGGUCUGCUGCUGAUUGGCUGGAAUGUGUCUG